RNAcentral lists this transfer RNA (145 nucleotides) under Fusarium piperis. It matches the Rfam family "tRNA". Rfam says of the family: Transfer RNA (tRNA) molecules are approximately 80 nucleotides in length. Their secondary structure includes four short double-helical elements and three loops (D, anti-codon, and T loops). The record is from Rfam by way of RNAcentral. Lineage: Eukaryota; Fungi; Ascomycota; Sordariomycetes; Hypocreales; Nectriaceae.
GGCCGCGUGGCCUAAUGGCUAAGGCGCUAGAUUUCGGUCUACAACUCGCAAAUUCUCUAGAGAUUCCAGGUUGGUUCCACUCGACAUCGCCCAGGUUCGAACGCAAGACUAACGAGACAAAAAGGUUCGAAUCCUGGCGUGGUCG